AUCAGAACAAUGUAAGAUAAAAUUAACAGAAUCCCAAGACUGUACAGUAUACGGUAUGUUUACUUGAGGCAGACAGAAUCAUUAUGGACCUUUUUUUCUCUCUUAAGACUGACAGUCCACAAAUUAAAAAGCUCAAUUCUACAUGAUGGUAAUGGCAGAAGAAUGCUUCAGAAUGCAUGCAGCCAUAGUUAGAUCAGGUUGAAUGCUUCCCCUUCUAGUCACACACACACACACACACAAUGAGCAUGGCUACAACACAGGAAGCUGACUAUAUAAUGGUGCCGGAGGGGAUGGCUGCCGUUUUAUGGCUGAAAUUUAUGGGCUCAAACUCAUUUUGUACAUAAUGUUGCUACUAACGUCUUUAACGAAAAUAGCUUCUGGACAUCAGAACAGCACAACUCACCUCGAACUGGACAAAGAUUUCUUCUUUAAUGAGUCCAACGCAAAGGAUAUACUGCUUCCCAGAGACCAGGCACAAAUCCCUGUCAUUCGUGUGAAGAAAAGAUGGAAAUACAGUGGGCGGAGGUCUGGGCGCAUUGUGAGAAUUCGUCGCCAAGUGAGUAAACUACCACUACCCUCGGUAUUAUUGGCCAACGUACAAUCAUUGGAAAACAAAUUGGAUGAUCUACGAUUAUGACUAUCCUACCAACGGGACAUUAUUAAUAAACCUUUCUGGGAAGGGGGUUCCGCUAGCGGAAUAACCUCGCCUACAGCCAGUGAAAUUGCAGGGCGCCAAAUUCAAACAACAGAAAUCUCAUAAUUAAAAUUCCUCAAAAAUACAAGUAUUAUACACCAUUUUAAAGAUAACCUUCUUGUUAAUCCAACCACAGUGUCCGAUUUCAAAAAGGCUUUACGGUGAAAGCACACCAUGCGAUUAUGUUAGGUCAGCGCCUAGCCACAAAAAAACAUACAGCCAUUUUCCAACCAAGUAGAGGUGUCACAAAAGUCAGAAAUAGCAUUAAAAUUGUAACGCCCUGGCAAUAGAGAGGGGUUUUUUGUUCUUUAUUUUGGUUAGGCCAGGGUGUUACAUUGGGUGGGCGUUCUAUGUUCCUUUUUCUAUGUUUUUGUAUUUCUUUGUUUUGG
Molecule: long non-coding RNA, 1083 nt
Filed under: Salmo salar (Atlantic salmon)
Lineage: Eukaryota; Metazoa; Chordata; Actinopteri; Salmoniformes; Salmonidae
Description: lncRNA (ENSSSAG00000082618.1)
Source: RNAcentral